RNAcentral lists this ribosomal RNA (301 nucleotides) under uncultured bacterium. Its description in RNAcentral is "partial 16S ribosomal RNA". It matches the Rfam family "Bacterial small subunit ribosomal RNA", at positions 509 to 807 of the family's 1533-position model. The record is from RNAcentral.
CAGUCGCCACGGUAAUACGUAGGGUGCGAGCGUUAAUCGGAAUUACUGGGCGUAAAGCGUGCGCAGGCGGUUAUAUAAGACAGAUGUGAAAUCCCCGGGCUCAACCUGGGACCUGCAUUUGUGACUGUAUAGCUAGAGUACGGUAGAGGGGGAUGGAAUUCCGCGUGUAGCAGUGAAGUGCGUAGAUAUGCGGAGGAACACCGAUGGCGAAGGCAAUCCCCUGGACCUGUACUGACGCUCAUGCACGAAAGCGUGGGGAGCAAACAGGAUUAGAUACCCCUGUAGUCCCUGUCUCUUAUAC